UAAGGAAUAUUGGUCAAUGGGCGCAAGCCUGAACCAGCCAUGCCGCGUGCAGGAAGACGGCCCUAUGGGUUGUAAACUGCUUUUGUCAGGGAAUAAACCCCCGCUCGUGAGCGGGGCUGAAGGUACCUGAAGAAUAAGCAUCGGCUAACUCCGUGCCAGCAGCCGCGGUAAUACGGAGGAUGCAAGCGUUAUCCGGAUUCAUUGGGUUUAAAGGGUGCGCAGGCGGAUUGGUAAGUCAGGGGUGAAAUCCCACAGCUCAACUGUGGAACUGCCUUUGAUACUGUCAGUCUAGAGUAUAGUUGAAGUGGGCGGAAUGUGUCAUGUAGCGGUGAAAUGCUUAGAUAUGACACAGAACACCGAUCGCGAGGGCAGCUCGCUAAGCUAUAACUGACGCUCAUGCACGAAAGCGUGGGGAUCAAACAG
Molecule: ribosomal RNA, 423 nt
Filed under: uncultured bacterium
Lineage: Bacteria
Description: bacterial SSU rRNA
Rfam family: Bacterial small subunit ribosomal RNA
Source: RNAcentral